GGGCCGUUAGCUCAGUUGGUAGAGCAGUUGACUCUUAAUCAAUAGGUCCAAGGUUCGAAUCCUUGACAGCCCACCA
RNAcentral lists this transfer RNA (76 nucleotides) under Stenotrophomonas maltophilia. RNAcentral describes it as "tRNA-Lys". It matches the Rfam family "tRNA". Rfam says of the family: Transfer RNA (tRNA) molecules are approximately 80 nucleotides in length. The record is from RNAcentral. Lineage: Bacteria; Pseudomonadati; Pseudomonadota; Gammaproteobacteria; Lysobacterales; Lysobacteraceae. RNAcentral also lists the same sequence under 5 other names.